Phytophthora infestans T30-4 is the source of this 72-nucleotide transfer RNA. It matches the Rfam family "tRNA". From Rfam's summary of the family: Transfer RNA (tRNA) molecules are approximately 80 nucleotides in length. Their secondary structure includes four short double-helical elements and three loops (D, anti-codon, and T loops). NCBI's taxonomy places the organism in Eukaryota, Oomycota, Peronosporomycetes, Peronosporales, Peronosporaceae. The record is from Rfam.
CCGCUUUUAGAUCAGUGGUCGAGCAAUGGCUUUGGAAGCCACAGGUCGGUGGUUCGAACCCGCCAGGGCACA